UGCAUCAUGGACGGCCAUUGGAAGAGGAACUGUCCUACAUACAUGGGAAGCAUAAAGAACAUGAAGGGUGACAGACCUUCAGAAGGUUUGUCAGAUAUGCUCAGGAUACUUAGGGACUGUUACCUAUUGCUAGCAGAAAUUUGAUUUCUGUAUUUUAUUUAGCACAGAAAGAUUUUUAUUUGAAAAUUAAAUUGAUUCAACAUGGUUUUAUGAUUGACAGUCUCUAUCACAUACAUAUGGAUGUAUCUGUAAAUAUAUCUGAGCAAACAGUGAAUACCAUAGGAUCUAAUAGAUCCAAAAAUGAGAUAAAUCUAAAGUAUUUAUGGCACCUCAGGCUUGGCCAAAUAGGAGAAGACAAAAUAAACAAAUUGGAGAAACAUGAGCUUUGGGCUCAUUGACUUUCGAGUCAUAUUUGAUUUGUGAAUUCUGCCUUCAAGGAAAGAUGGCCAAGUUAUCCUUUGUAGGACACAGGGAGGUCCACUGAAAUACUUAUCC
Molecule: long non-coding RNA, 495 nt
Filed under: Phoenix dactylifera (date palm)
Lineage: Eukaryota; Viridiplantae; Streptophyta; Magnoliopsida; Arecales; Arecaceae
Description: long non-coding RNA (PDAC_LNC011795)
Source: RNAcentral